AGAGUUUGAUCCUGGCUCAGGACGAACGCUGGCGGCGCGCCUAACACAUGCAAGUCGAACGAGCGAGAGAGAGCUUGCUUUCUCAAGCGAGUGGCGAACGGGUGAGUAACGCGUGAGGAACCUGCCUCAAAGAGGGGGACAACAGUUGGAAACGACUGCUAAUACCGCAUAAGCCCACAGCUCGGCAUCGAGCAGAGGGAAAAGGAGCAAUCCGCUUUGAGAUGGCCUCGCGUCCGAUUAGCUAGUUGGUGAGGUAAUGGCCCACCAAGGCGACGAUCGGUAGCCGGACUGAGAGGUUGAACGGCCACAUUGGGACUGAGACACGGCCCAGACUCCUACGGGAGGCAGCAGUGGGGAAUAUUGCACAAUGGGGGAAACCCUGAUGCAGCGACGCCGCGUGGAGGAAGAAGGUCUUCGGAUUGUAAACUCCUGUUGUUGAGGAAGAUAAUGACGGUACUCAACAAGGAAGUGACGGCUAACUACGUGCCAGCAGCCGCGGUAAAACGUAGGUCACAAGCGUUGUCCGGAAUUACUGGGUGUAAAGGGAGCGCAGGCGGGAAGACAAGUUGGAAGUGAAAUCUAUGGGCUCAACCCAUAAACUGCUUUCAAAACUGUNUUUCUUGAGUAGUGCAGAGGUAGGCGGAAUUCCCCGGUGUAGCGGUGGAAUGCGUAGAUAUCGGGAGGAACACCAGUGGCGAAGGCGGCCUACUGGGCACCAACUGACGCUGAGGCUCGAAAGUGUGGGUAGCANACAGGAUUAGAUACCCUGGUAGUCCACACCGUAAACGAUGAUUACUAGGUGUUGGAGGAUUGACCCCUUCAGUGCCGCAGUUAACACAAUAAGUAAUCCACCUGGGGAGUACGACCGCAAGGUUGAAACUCAAAGGAAUUGACGGGGGCCCGCACAAGCAGUGGAGUAUGUGGUUUAAUUCGACGCAACGCGAAGAACCUUACCAAGUCUUGACAUCCUGCGACGCACAUAGAAAUAUGUGUUUCCUUCGGGACGCAGAGACAGGUGGUGCAUGGUUGUCGUCAGCUCGUGUCGUGAGAUGUUGGGUUAAGUCCCGCAACGAGCGCAACCCUUACUGUCAGUUACUACGCAAGAGGACUCUGGCAGGACUGCCGUUGACAAAACGGAGGAAGGUGGGGAUGACGUCAAAUCAUCAUGCCCUUUAUGACUUGGGCUACACACGUACUACAAUGGCGUUAAACAAAGAGAAGCAAGACCGCGAGGUGGAGCAAAACUCAGAAACAACGUCCCAGUUCGGACUGCAGGCUGCAACUCGCCUGCACGAAGUCGGAAUUGCUAGUAAUCGUGGAUCAGCAUGCCACGGUGAAUACGUUCCCGGGCCUUGUACACACCGCCCGUC
RNAcentral lists this ribosomal RNA (1370 nucleotides) under uncultured bacterium. Its description in RNAcentral is "bacterial SSU rRNA". It matches the Rfam family "Bacterial small subunit ribosomal RNA". The record is from RNAcentral.